UGAGGAAUAUUGGUCAAUGGGCGCAAGCCUGAACCAGCCAUGCCGCGUGAAGGAAGACGGCCCUAUGGGUUGUAAACUUCUUUUGUACGGGACGAAACUAUGUUACGUGUAAUGUACUGACGGUACCGUAUGAAUAAGCAACGGCUAACUCCGUGCCAGCAGCCGCGGUAAUACGGAGGUUGCAAGCGUUAUCCGGAUUUAUUGGGUUUAAAGGGUGCGUAGGCGGAAUGAUAAGUCAGUGGUGAAAGCCUGCAGCUUAACUGUAGAAUUGCCAUUGAUACUGUCGUCCUUGAGUCUAGUUGAGGUGGGCGGAAUGUGUAAUGUAGCGGUGAAAUGCUUAGAUAUUACACAGAACACCAAUUGCGUAGGCAGCUCACUAAACUAUAACUGACGCUGAGGCACGAAAGCGUGGGGAGCAAACA
Molecule: ribosomal RNA, 422 nt
Filed under: uncultured Bacteroidota bacterium
Lineage: Bacteria; Pseudomonadati; Bacteroidota
Description: uncultured Bacteroidetes bacterium partial 16S ribosomal RNA
Rfam family: Bacterial small subunit ribosomal RNA
Source: RNAcentral